RNAcentral lists this ribosomal RNA (498 nucleotides) under uncultured bacterium. RNAcentral describes it as "partial 16S ribosomal RNA". It matches the Rfam family "Bacterial small subunit ribosomal RNA", at positions 28 to 507 of the family's 1533-position model. The record is from RNAcentral.
GACGAACGCUGGCGGCGUGCCUAAUACAUGCAAGUCGAACGAGAGCAACCGGUGCUUGCACUGGUCAAUCUAGUGGCGAACGGGUGAGUAACACGUGGGUAACCUGCCCAUCAGAGGGGGAUAACAUCCGGAAACGGAUGCUAAAACCGCAUAGGUCUUCGAACCGCAUGGUUUGAAGAGGAAAAGAGGCGCAAGCUUCUGCUGAUGGAUGGACCCGCGGUGCAUUAGCUAGUUGGUGAGGUAACGGCUCACCAAGGCCGGGAUGCAUAGCCGACCUGAGAGGGUGAUCGGCCACAUUGGGACUGAGACACGGCCCAAACUCCUACGGGAGGCAGCAGUAGGGAAUCUUCCGCAAUGGACGAAAGUCUGACGGAGCAACGCCGCGUGAGUGAAGAAGGUUUUCGGAUCGUAAAACUCUGUUGUUAGAGAAGAACAAGUGCUAGAGUAACUGUUAGCGCCUUGACGGUAUCUAACCAGAAAGCCACGGCUAACUACGUG